UGAGUAAUAUAUCGGAACGUGCCCGGUCGGUGGGGGAUAACGUAGCGAAAGCUACGCUAAUACCGCAUACGAUCUACGGAUGAAAGCGGGGGAUCGCAAGACCUCGCGCGAUUGGAGCGGCCGAUAUCAGAUUAGGUAGUUGGUGAGGUAAAGGCUCACCAAGCCGACGAUCUGUAGCUGGUCUGAGAGGACGACCAGCCACACUGGGACUGAGACACGGACCAGACUCCUACGGGAGGCAGCAGUGAGGAAUAUUGGACAAUGGGCGCAAGCCUGAUCCAGCCAUGCCGCGUGCAGGAAGAAGCAUCUAUGGUGUGUAAACUGCUUUUGUACGGGAAGAAACACUCCUACGUGUAGGAGCUUGACGGUACCGUAAGAAUAAGGAUCGGCUAACUCCGUG
Molecule: ribosomal RNA, 400 nt
Filed under: uncultured bacterium
Lineage: Bacteria
Description: bacterial SSU rRNA
Rfam family: Bacterial small subunit ribosomal RNA
Source: RNAcentral